RNAcentral lists this microRNA precursor (152 nucleotides) under Glycine soja. RNAcentral describes it as "MIR1520 microRNA precursor family". It matches the Rfam family "MIR1520 microRNA precursor family". Lineage: Eukaryota; Viridiplantae; Streptophyta; Magnoliopsida; Fabales; Fabaceae. The record is from Rfam by way of RNAcentral.
UUCUUAUUGGAUUAUGACUGUCACGUGUUAUAUUUUGAUUAAAUGUCAACUUCAUGAAAGAUGAAAUACAUUGUUGUCGUCAUUGGUUAAUAAAAAAAUGAAUUGUGAAAGUUAUGAUUCAAUAAGAACGUGAUGCGUGACAGCCAACAUUC